RNAcentral lists this ribosomal RNA (503 nucleotides) under uncultured bacterium. RNAcentral describes it as "partial 16S ribosomal RNA". It matches the Rfam family "Bacterial small subunit ribosomal RNA", at positions 29 to 523 of the family's 1533-position model. The record is from RNAcentral.
AUUGAACGCUGGCGGCAGGCCUAACACAUGCAAGUCGGACGGUAGCACAGAGAGCUUGCUCUUGGGUGACGAGUGGCGGACGGGUGAGUAAUGUCUGGGGAUCUGCCCGAUAGAGGGGGAUAACACUGGAAACGGUGGCUAAUACCGCAUAACGUCGCAAGACCAAAGAGGGGGACCUUCGGGCCUCUCACUAUCGGAUGAACCCAGAUGGGAUUAGCUAGUAGGCGGGGUAAUGGCCCACCUAGGCGACGAUCCCUAGCUGGUCUGAGAGGAUGGCCAGCCACACUUGAACUGAGACACGGUCCAGACUCCUACGGGAGGCAGCAGUGGGGAAUAUUGCACAAUGGGCGCAAGCCUGAUGCAGCCAUGCCGCGUGUACGAAGAAGGCCUUCGGGUUGUAAAGUACUUUCAGCGGGGAGGAAGGCGGUGAGGUUAAUAACCUCGCCGAUUGACGUUACCCGCAGAAGAAGCACCGGCUAACUCCGUGCCAGCCGCCGCGGUAA